AGAGUUUGAUUAUGGCUCAGAUUGAACGCUGGCGGAAUGCUUUACACAUGCAAGUCGAACGGGCUUAAGGGGCUUGCUCCCUAGGUUAUUGGCGAACGGGUGAGUAAUAUAUCGGAACGUAUCCAAUAAUGGGGGAUAACUAAUCGAAAGGUUGGCUAAUACCGCAUACGCCCUACGGGGGAAAGCAGGGGAUCUUCGGACCUUGCGUUAAUGGAGCGGCCGAUAUCUGAUUAGCUAGUUGGUGGGGUAAAGGCCCACCAAGGCGACGAUCAGUAGCUGGUCUGAGAGGACGACCAGCCACACUGGAACUGAGACACGGUCCAGACUCCUACGGGAGGCAGCAGUGGGGAAUUUUGGACAAUGGGCGAAAGCCUGAUCCAGCCAUUCCGCGUGAGUGAAGAAGGCCUUCGGGUUGUAAAGCUCUUUCGCAAGGAAAGAAAACUUAGCUAAUAACACUAGCUGAGGAUGACGGUACCUUGAUAAGAAGCACCGGCUAACUACGUGCCAGCAGCCGCGGUAAUACGUAGGGUGCGAGCGUUAAUCGGAAUUACUGGGCGUAAAGCGUGCGCAGGCUGUUUUGUAAGUCAGAUGUGAAAUCCCUGGGCUCAACCUAGGAACUGCGUUUGAAACUACAAGGCUAGAGUGUAGCAGAGGGGGGUAGAAUUCCACGUGUAGCAGUGAAAUGCGUAGAGAUGUGGAGGAAUACCAAUGGCGAAGGCAGCCCCCUGGGUUAACACUGACGCUCAUGCACGAAAGCGUGGGGAGCAAACAGGAUUAGAUACCCUGGUAGUCCACGCCCUAAACGAUGUCUACUAGUUGUUGGGAGAGUAAAAUCUCUUAGUAACGCAGCUAACGCGUGAAGUAGACCGCGUGGGGAUAACGUCGACAAGAUUAAAACUCAAAGGAAUUGACGG
RNAcentral lists this ribosomal RNA (914 nucleotides) under uncultured bacterium. RNAcentral's name for it is "bacterial SSU rRNA". It matches the Rfam family "Bacterial small subunit ribosomal RNA", at positions 8 to 916 of the family's 1533-position model. The record is from RNAcentral.